GUCAGUGUGGUGUAAUGGUUUGAGUGUUAGAUUAGGACACUGGAGACUGAGGUUCAAAUCCUCGCUCAGCCA
Non-coding RNA from Phrynosoma platyrhinos (Desert horned lizard), 72 nucleotides. NCBI's taxonomy places the organism in Eukaryota, Metazoa, Chordata, Lepidosauria, Squamata, Phrynosomatidae. The record is from the annotation of a GenBank genome assembly.